This 1020-nucleotide ribosomal RNA is filed under the name uncultured Methanomicrobiaceae archaeon. RNAcentral describes it as "bacterial SSU rRNA". It matches the Rfam family "Archaeal small subunit ribosomal RNA", at positions 85 to 1110 of the family's 1478-position model. Lineage: Archaea; Methanobacteriati; Methanobacteriota; Methanomicrobia; Methanomicrobiales; Methanomicrobiaceae. The record is from RNAcentral.
ACUGCUCAGUAACACGUGGAUAACCUGCCCUAAGGAAGGGGAUAACCCCGGGAAACUGGGGAUAAUACCCUAUAGGUUACAGAUGCUGGAAUGCUCUGUAACUCAAAGCUCCGGCGCCUUAGGAUGGAUCUGCGGCCGAUUAGGUUGUUGUUGGGGUAACGGCCCAACAAGCCCGUAAUCGGUACGGGUUGUGGGAGCAAGAGCCCGGAGUUGGAUUCUGAGACACGAAUCCAGGCCCUACGGGGCGCAGCAGGCGCGAAAACUUUACAAUGCGGGCAACCGUGAUAAGGGAACCUCGAGUGCCUGUAUAUGCAGGCUGUCCAGGUGUCUAAAAAACACCUGAAGAAAGGGCCGGGCAAGACCGGUGCCAGCCGCCGCGGUAAUACCGGCGGCUCGAGUGGUGGCCACUUUUAUUGGGCUUAAAGCGUUCGUAGCUGGGUUGUUAAGUCUCUUGGGAAAUCCGGCGGCUCAACCGUCGGGCGUCUAAGAGAUACUGGCAGUCUUGGAACCGGGAGAGGUGAGGGGUACUUCGGGGGUAGGAGUGAAAUCCUGUAAUCCUCGAGGGACCACCUGUGGCGAAGGCGCCUCACCAGAACGGCUUCGACAGUGAGGGACGAAAGCUGGGGGAGCAAACCGGAUUAGAUACCCGGGUAGUCCCAGCCGUAAACGAUGCGCGUUAGGUGUAUCGACGACCACGAGUCGUCGAGGUGCCGAAGGGAAACCGUGAAACGUGCCGCCUGGGAAGUACGGUCGCAAGGCUGAAACUUAAAGGAAUUGGCGGGGGAGCACCACAACAGGUGGAGCCUGCGGUUUAAUUGGACUCAACGCCGGGAAUCUCACCGGAUAGGACAGCAGAAUGAUUGCCGGGCUGAAGACUCUGCAUGACUAGCUGAGAGGAGGUGCAUGGCCGUCGUCAGUUCGUACUGUGAAGCAUCCUGUUAAGUCAGGCAACGAGCGAGACCCACGCCAACAGUUGCCAGCAUGAUCUCCGGAUUGAUGGGGACACUGUUGGGACCGCCU